Salvia splendens (bonfire salvia) is the source of this 1046-nucleotide long non-coding RNA. RefSeq lists it as uncharacterized. The transcript is spliced from 2 exons. Lineage: Eukaryota; Viridiplantae; Streptophyta; Magnoliopsida; Lamiales; Lamiaceae. The record is from RefSeq and is a predicted model, not a curated record.
CCUCCACCCACAUCCAAACCGCCAACUCUCCUCUGCUAAAUCUUUCUCAUAUCUUAAAUCUUCAAUCCAUUUCUUUCUUCUGAUCGGUUUCAGCAGCAAGAAAAUUCAAGAAACCGAGAGCUCAAUCAAUUGAAUUACAGAAACUGAAUCUGCAAAAUCCAGUGGGCUACUUCUUUCGGUCCUACAAUUUCACAACCAAUAUCGUGUUAUCGAGGUAAAUCUCCUUUCCCGAUCUAAACCUUCAAUCCAUGAACUGCAUAGCAUGUUUUUUUUUAAAACUCAACCAAAUCGCACAAUUCAAAACAGUAACUACGAUAUGGAAUCAAUCUUUUAAUCGUUUAAAUCGAAGCGUACCAAAUUCAAGAAUCAGACUUUAAUUCAUGAAAUCAAUUAGAAACUUACGGGGGGGACUGUUUCGGGGUUGUGCGGGGCUUUUCGGGUUAGUUUCGGGACGUUUCGGGGUUGGUUCGGUGAUGAACGAUGGCUGGAUUGGACGACAGUAGCGGCGGACUCUCAAACCUAGGGGAUCGGCGGCGGAGAAGCUCAUCCUCGUCGCUGGAGAAAGCUGGAGCGAUGCGGCGGCAGAGUUCCUCCACUCCGACAGCGACGACGGUUGCGAAUCACCACGGAAGGCGGAGCUCGGGGAUGAACGCUGAGGAUGAAUUGACGGAAGAAUCAACAGCGGCGUCGGAGCGACUGAUGCGACUGGAGUGGCGUCGGGAAGCUGCUCCGGCAGCAUGAGGCGGAGGAAGGGAAACACCGCUGGAGACGAAAACGGAAGCGGAGGCGGAGGCGGCGCCGGUAAGGUGGCUGUCGACGGAAACUCUGAAAUGGGAAGAGAGAUUUUCUUUCCUAAUUUGUGAAAUUGGGGAAGGAGAUUGAAUAGGUUGUUAGAGAGAGAAACUGUCGGUGUGUGGGUGGAGUAUAUGGAUUAAUAAAUCCUAGAAUUGAGGGCUUCUUUUGUUUCCUAUUUUUUUUGUUUGUUGGGCCACUUAUUUAAUUAGAAUUGGGCUAAUGAUAAUUCAUUUGGGUUUAAUUAGUGAAAA